Molecule: ribosomal RNA, 254 nt
Filed under: uncultured bacterium
Lineage: Bacteria
Description: partial 16S ribosomal RNA
Rfam family: Bacterial small subunit ribosomal RNA
Source: RNAcentral
UACAGAGGUGGCAAGCGUUGUUCGGAAUUACUGGGCGUAAAGGGCGCGUAGGCGGCCUUCUAAGUCAGACGUGAAAUCCCCAGGCUUAACUUGGGAACUGCGUCUGAUACUGGGAGGCUUUGAGUGCGGGAGAGGGAUGUGGAAUUCCAGGUGUAGCGGUGAAAUGCGUAGAUAUCUGGAGGAACACCGGUGGCGAAGGCGGCAUCCUGGACCGACACUGACGCUGAGGCGCGAAAGCUAGGGGAGCAAACGGG